UGAGGAAUAUUGCACAAUGGACGAAAGUCUGAUGCAGCGACGCCGCGUGGGUGACGAAGGCCUUCGGGUCGUAAAACCCUUUUGGCAGGGACGAGUGAGGACGGUACCUGCAGAAUAAGUCUCGGCUAACUACGUGCCAGCAGCCGCGGUAAAACGUAGGAGGCGAGCGUUAUCCGGAUUUACUGGGCGUAAAGCGUGCGUAGGCGGUUGGUCAAGUCAGAUGUUAAAGCCCCUGGCUCAACUGGGGGAGGUCAUUUGAUACUGAUCGGCUUGAGGGUGAGAGAGGAGAGUGGAAUUCCCGGUGUAGCGGUGGAAUGCGUAGAGAUCGGGAGGAACACCAGUGGCGAAAGCGGCUCUCUGGCUCACUUCUGACGCUGAGUGCACGAAAGCGUGGGUAGCA
This 400-nucleotide ribosomal RNA is filed under the name uncultured bacterium. Its description in RNAcentral is "bacterial SSU rRNA". It matches the Rfam family "Bacterial small subunit ribosomal RNA", at positions 355 to 770 of the family's 1533-position model. The record is from RNAcentral.